UACGUAGGCGCAAGCGUUAUUCGGAUUCACUGGGCGUAAAGGGUGCGCAGGCGGUUGAGUGUGUCAGAUGUGAAAUCCCGAGGCUCAACCUCGGAACUGCGUCUGAAACUACUCGACUAGAGUACUGGAGAGGGUAACGGAAUUCACGGUGUAGCAGUGAAAUGCGUAGAUAUCGUGAGGAACACCAGAGGCGAAGGCGGUUACCUGGACAGUUACUGACGCUCAGGCACGAAAGCAUGGGGGAGCAAAAGGG
Molecule: ribosomal RNA, 253 nt
Filed under: uncultured bacterium
Lineage: Bacteria
Description: partial 16S ribosomal RNA
Rfam family: Bacterial small subunit ribosomal RNA
Source: RNAcentral